RNAcentral lists this ribosomal RNA (336 nucleotides) under uncultured Bacillota bacterium. Its description in RNAcentral is "bacterial SSU rRNA". It matches the Rfam family "Bacterial small subunit ribosomal RNA", at positions 28 to 351 of the family's 1533-position model. The record is from RNAcentral. Lineage: Bacteria; Bacillati; Bacillota.
GACGAACGCUGGCGGCGUGCCUAACACAUGCAAGUCGAACGGAGUUUCCAGCAAUGGAUUCUUAGUGGCGAACGGGUGAGUAACGCGUAGACAACCUACCUUCUAGAUGGGGACAACACUGCGAAAGUGGUGCUAAUACCGAAUGUUGUAUCGAUGAUGCAUAUCAUUGAUACUAAAGAUGGCCUCUAUUUAUAAGCUAUCACUAGAAGAUGGGUCUGCGUCUGAUUAGCUAGUUGGUGAGGUAAUGGCUCACCAAGGCGACGAUCAGUAGCCGGUCUGAGAGGAUGAACGGCCACACUGGGACUGAGACACGGCCCAGACUCCUACGGGUGGCAG